Molecule: long non-coding RNA, 239 nt
Filed under: Capsicum annuum
Lineage: Eukaryota; Viridiplantae; Streptophyta; Magnoliopsida; Solanales; Solanaceae
Description: long non-coding RNA (CANN_LNC017775)
Source: RNAcentral
UUCCAGAACUAUGUAGCCGGCAUAGGUUAAAAGUAUCAACCUACUAGUUGAGGGUUGAUAAAGUGUUUACCUACCAGUUGAGUGUAACACAUAUCUCACCUGUCAGAUGAGGGUGAUUCUUUGGUGGAUUCACACAGCCAUUGUUAGUACCCGUGGCACGGUACUAACACCCUUCCAACUGGGGUCACAGGUUGGACCCCAACUCAGUUUAUAAUCGGGGUAUGUCGGUUAGAUGAACA